UACGAAGAGGGCGAGCGUUGUUCGGAUUUACUGGGCGUAAAGGGCGCGCAGGCGGCAGACCAAGUCAGGCGUGAAAGCCCCGGGCUUAACCUGGGAGGUGCGUCUGGGACUGGUAUGCUAGAGUUCGGGAGAGGAGAGUGGAAUUCCCAGUGUAGAGGUGAAAUUCGUAGAUAUUGGGAAGAACACCGGUGGCGAAGGCGGCUCUCUGGACCGAGACUGACGCUGAGGCGCGAAAGCGUGGGGAGCAAACAGG
This 253-nucleotide ribosomal RNA is filed under the name uncultured bacterium. RNAcentral's name for it is "partial 16S ribosomal RNA". It matches the Rfam family "Bacterial small subunit ribosomal RNA", at positions 524 to 776 of the family's 1533-position model. The record is from RNAcentral.